UGAUCCCCUGAAAGAAAUAAGCAGUGCUGCUGUGUGAUGCAGAGCUAUGAGCACAGGGGGGAACUCGCCCACCUUACAUAUUCCAUGGGAAAGCUUUAGAGUCAGCAGGUCUUUAACCUUUGUGUACCUGAAAAAUAGUGGCCAAAAGCUACCUGACCUAAGCCCCUCCAGCAACUCCUAAUCCCUUUCCCGACUGAAAGUGGUAGCAGCACAAGCAGCCCGAGGUCCCGGGCCACAUGGGAUGUGUGUGCAAGAAAACGCACAGGAACCGACAGGAGUUGCAGUGCCCAUGUGAUGUAGGGACAUCACUAGAGCCAUGACAAGGCCAAUUUUUUUAAGCUAGAUAGGGAUUCAGAUAUAGCUAAUUUGUGGGCAUCACAGAGCUGCUUGGCAAACCCUCCCCGGGGUUCCCAUGGGGGUAGGCUUGGUAGACGCCUGCAUUUCUGAAGAAGCCUAUGCUCCUUGCAGAAGCUGCUUAGGGCCUGCACUCUCCAGCUCAAGCUAAAGGAUUAAAACAAAGCUUUCUGAACAACUGUGUUAUUGGAGACCAAUCACCUACUAAAGUUGAGUAUUCCCAAGGUUAGAUUCACAAUUGUGCAGCAUAACAGGCCCAUCCAGACACGUCUGAUUUUUUUUUUUCCCUUCCUAUGGAGCAGUUGACUUUAAUAUAGCUUUGGCAACGAAGGCUCUGUGUAACCUCCAUGACAUGGUACAAAGCCUGGUUGAGUAUCUGGGCAUGCCUCCAUUUACAUAAAUGCAAAUGCCUGGCUAUUAGUCACACUCACAUGCAUUUUGUUAGUUCCAGCUCGGUCACAGAGAGCUGGGCAAGGAGACAUGCAGAUCUAGAGCCAGACGAGCUCCUCUCACCCUCUGUGUGACAGGGAGACAGAACAGUCAAAGGAGGAGGGUAACUGGGGGGGCAAGGCGCACUUGCAGCCGGUGUGAAUGCAGGGGCCAGUGGAGGGGCUGCUUGAGCCUUGUAGCCAUGCACGUCACUGUAAUUCCAGAGCAGCAACUGGCCAUGCACAACAUUCCUGCUCUGGCUUAAAUUUAAUUACUCAAAUCUUUAGAGUGCCUGUUCUCAGCACCUGCUCUGUGACAAGGCAUGGAUCUUCCUGCCUCCGUUCAGCCCUCUGCUUGAUGUGAUGGCCUGUGAAUCAUUCUUGCUGUUUUUCUCUGAAAACUAAGCAAUUUAUCUUACAGGUAUUUACUUCGGAUGAUUACUCCAACCAGGCUAAUGUCAAAUCAAGACACCUUUCUGCUUGAACAAUUUGGUACUUGCCGGUGGUCUACCUCCACAGGUUACUUAAUUAUUCCCUCCAGCAAUUUUCAAAUCCUUCAGCAUAAUAAUGCAUACUAAAUGGGACCAUGUUUCCCUGUUCUGAGAGCUGUAAAGUUAUCCCAACAUACGCACAGAGUUGUGAGCAAAGUCCUCAGUUUAUCCAAUGCAUCUGUUUGUCAUGUAAGGAGAUCUACAUGCUGUUAACUAAUGCCACAUUUCUGGACAACAUAGCCAAACUAUAAACUACAGAAUCCUGUUUCAUUCAGGGCCUAGGUAGACUGUUAUGCUGCUAUGUUAACCCAGUUGAAACAGGUACGUAGAGGGGGAAAUGAGGACUCAGGAGUCCAUAGGGACUGUUUGGCUUUAAAACUCUAUUGCUACUCAUGAACCUUUUACAGGUCACCAGUAUCUGCCUGCACCCAUCAGCUCACCCACCCACAGCCUUCAGCUUUCAGCCUUGCGUGACUCCUAUUGUGAAACUAACUCUGCCACGAGCAUGAGGAAACAAACACAGGCAUCACCUCAUAUAGUAGUUUUCCACUCAUUGUAAUCCAAUAAAGUUUAGGAAGUUUACAGUGAUUAACAUCAGCCUGAGAAUGCGGUUGGACCCUGCACUAAAUGCUUAAAACUAUGGGCAGCACAGCAUCCUCCGAUUUGUAAGAAGACAGGAUUCCUCAAGGUUGGCAACUGUUUACUCCACAGUUUUCUGAAACAGCUAUGAACUUAUUUUAAAAGCCUAAUACACUUUAUCCUAGCCUUAAAUACUAGUUGUGCUUUAUAAGGCUGCCACGAUUUGCUAUGUAUUUACCAGUACUUGUGCAUUUACUGGACCACCCACCUUGCUGACAAGCUAAACUGUGUGACAUUCUUCACUGUUCUGCCAGUGGAGACCACCACUUCCAAAGGUGAGAAUACACUACCAGGAUUAUGAUUAACAUUUUAUUAAUUUUAAGAGUUAGUAAAGAAGAGGAUAAGCAGAUAUCUUGGAAAGAAACUUAAAAAGGAACUUGGUUUUGGCAAGAUCAAUGAAAUAUUAGUGUCAAAUAUCAAGAGAGAUGGAAGUCACAUGUCAGGUUUGGGAAUAAAAGUGUUACUGAUUCUUCCUU
This is a long non-coding RNA of Tyto alba (common barn owl), 2388 nucleotides long. RefSeq lists it as uncharacterized. NCBI's taxonomy places the organism in Eukaryota, Metazoa, Chordata, Aves, Strigiformes, Tytonidae. The record is from RefSeq and is a predicted model, not a curated record. The transcript has 2 exons.